This 72-nucleotide transfer RNA is filed under the name Sutterella wadsworthensis. Its description in RNAcentral is "tRNA-Glu". It matches the Rfam family "tRNA". Rfam says of the family: Transfer RNA (tRNA) molecules are approximately 80 nucleotides in length. RNAcentral also lists the same sequence under 1 other name. Lineage: Bacteria; Pseudomonadati; Pseudomonadota; Betaproteobacteria; Burkholderiales; Sutterellaceae. The record is from RNAcentral.
GUCCCCAUCGUCUAGUGGUUAGGACGGCAGCCUCUCACGUUGUCAACAUCGGUUCGAAUCCGAUUGGGGACG